This is a non-coding RNA of Acanthosepion pharaonis, 114 nucleotides long. NCBI's taxonomy places the organism in Eukaryota, Metazoa, Mollusca, Cephalopoda, Sepiida, Sepiidae. The record is from the annotation of a GenBank genome assembly.
UUGCGUCCAUAUCAUGUUGAAACGCCGGUUACCGUACGAUUACCGAAGUUAAGCAAUGUCGAGCCUGGUCAGUAUCUAGAUGGGUGACCUCUUGGGAAUACUAGGCGCUGCAAG